Long non-coding RNA from Gossypium arboreum, 609 nucleotides. RefSeq lists it as uncharacterized. NCBI's taxonomy places the organism in Eukaryota, Viridiplantae, Streptophyta, Magnoliopsida, Malvales, Malvaceae. The record is from RefSeq and is a predicted model, not a curated record. The transcript has 2 exons.
GCCAAUCAAUUAUAGAGCCCAGCACAUUAAAAGUAAGGGUCUUUUUAGUCAGUUCAAAAAAAAAAAAAGGGGCCUGUUUUAGUCAUUUUGUAAUGCAUUAGGCAUGAAUGUUAUGACUUGCGAAAACCUGCCCAAUGCCCUGCAAACCAGACCCUGUAAUGCUGGCAAAAGAACAAGCCUACUGCGCAUAAUAAUGGGGCAAACCUGAAGACAAUGAGAAGAAGGUGCAAGCUCAUAUAGCUAAGUCCAGAUGAUAGACUAGCGCGAUUGACGGACAGAAUCAACAGUUGAAAAUCUUCUUGUGAUCAGUGAAUCUAUUGCAGUUCUGGAAAUUUUGAUAUCAAAUUGGUUAUGGGGCAAAGGCACAUAAUGGCAUAGUAAUGUUACUGUGAUAAGUGUUUUCUAGAUUUUGCAGAAUUUUGGCCCUUUCAUUUUUUUUUUAGCUCUGUACUAAUAAGGAAUGCAAAAAAGUAUAGUUAGGCUAUUUCUUUCUUUAAAGGAAAGUGUGGAGUGCGUCCCGUAUUUUCAGAUAAACAGAGUCAACGUUGCUAUGUGAUAAGUACUAAAGUAACAUGUUUUAAUCCCAUUUUUAAUGGGUUUUUUUUAUUA